Molecule: ribosomal RNA, 394 nt
Filed under: uncultured bacterium
Lineage: Bacteria
Description: partial 16S ribosomal RNA
Rfam family: Bacterial small subunit ribosomal RNA
Source: RNAcentral
CCUACGGGUGGCAGCAGUGAGGAAUAUUGGUCAAUGGGCGCGAGCCUGAACCAGCCAAGCAGCGUGAAGGAUGACGGCCCUACGGGUUGUAAACUUCUUUUAUAAAGGAAUAAAGUGAGGCACGUGUGCCUGUUUGUAUGUACUUUAUGAAUAAGGAUCGGCUAACUCCGUGCCAGCAGCCGCGGUAAUACGGAGGAUCCGAGCGUUAUCCGGAUUUAUUGGGUUUAAAGGGAGCGGAGAUGGGUUGUUAAGUCAGUCGUGAAAGGUUGGGGCUCAACCGUAGAGUUGCAAUUGAUACUGGCAGUCUUGAGUACAGUAGAGGUAGGCGGAAUUCGUGGUGUAGCGGUGAAAUGCUUAGAUAUCACGAAGAACUCCGAUUGCGAAGGCAGCUUAC